AAUGCAAGCCCUCCUCCAACUCCAAACCCUCUUCCCAAUCCCAUGCCACCAGUACCACACACCAACUCCUUCAACACCGGCGACACGCAACUCUUAACCGUCUCUUCAAUCAAACCCUGCAGACCCCCUUCUUUCACCUGCGCAAAACACACAAAGAGUUAGCCAAUGGGUAAAAAAGAAAAACAAAACUGGAGUCAAGAAAAAUAUUACGAACCACUACCAAAUACAAACGUCAGUCACAGGACGGCACGACGGUAGCGACGAUGUGGGUCACAGGACGGCUCGACGGCAACGAGCGUGCGAUGGCGGCGAGUGUGAUCGACUGUGUGACGGCGGAAUCACUACCAGAUACAAACGUGAGUGACAGAAGGCUAGGGUUGGAUUCCUUUUGUUUGGGUAAAAUUUUAGAUUCCGACGAAUGUAUAUUUUGUCAGAAAAAUUCGUCAGAAAUUUCGCCAGACAAAAAUCUGUGAGUAAAAAUCCGUCAGAAAUUUAUCUGUCGGUCAUUUAAAUAUUUUUAAUGGAAUACAUUCGGUGAAAAAUAUUCUAUUAGGAAUAACUAUUUUUUUUUUUGUCCUGA
This is a long non-coding RNA of Glycine soja, 580 nucleotides long. RefSeq lists it as uncharacterized. The record is from RefSeq and is a predicted model, not a curated record. Lineage: Eukaryota; Viridiplantae; Streptophyta; Magnoliopsida; Fabales; Fabaceae. The transcript has 2 exons.